AUCACACAAGGUGAAUGAACAAAGCUAGAGUUCCUUUUAUAGUUUCCAUUGAUGUGAUCAGCGUGGGCUUGUUUCUACAGCAGGCUGGUGAGGCUUGUCAUGGUAAAGAAUGAGAGAUCAUCACUAAAGCAUCCAGAAGGCUGCUCUGUCAGAGAGGAAGAGAGUAGACUACUUCCAGGAGUGGAGACCUGGAGCCAGAGACCACCAAUGGGAGACACAGUGACUUCAACAUCCACAUUUCACAUCAAUUUCGCAAGUAAGUUGCAGCUGAACGUGGCCACACCUUGAACUUAAAGUCAACUAGGAAACAGCCAACUCAUUGGAAAAGACCCUGAUGCUGGGAAAGAUAGAGAAGAGGCAGCAGAGGAUGAAAUGGUUGGAUGGCAUCACCAAUUCAAUGGACAUGAACUUGGGCAAACUCUGGGAAAUGGUGAGGGACAAGGUUGCAAAGAAUCUGACAUGACUUAGUGACUGAACCACAAAGGGACUUCCCUGGUGGUCCAGUGGUUAAGAAUCUGCCUUACAAUGCAGGGGACAUGGGUUCAAUCCCUGGUCUGGGAACUAAGAUCCCACAUUCUGGGGAGCAACUAAGCCGGUGCCCCACAAGUGCUGAGCCCAUGUGGGCUCUCUAGCCACAACUAGAGAGUCCGUGGGCCCCAAUGAAUGAUUCCACAUGAUGCAGAGAAGAUCGCACAUGCUACAAUUAAAACCCGAUGCAACCAAAUAAAUAGAUAUAAAAAAAAUAACGUCUACUAUCUGACAAUGCUUCAUCUGUUAUUCUAAAUCCUGAAAUCCUCUCAGUGGUCAUGGCCACUUAUUCCUCCAUCACCCGCUGAGGUGCUGUUGGGCCUCUGAGCGCCUUCCACUCCUGUCACUGUUCCUGACUGUUGCUCACUCACUGGGUUCUUCUCCCACUUCACAUCUCUUCCCCCAGCACAGAGCUCAGGGGCAAUCACUUUCAACCAAACUCUUCUUAGUACCCGAUCUCUGUCUUUUUGCUUGACCUUCUAUGAUUCCCAC
Bos taurus (domestic cattle) is the source of this 1020-nucleotide long non-coding RNA. NCBI's taxonomy places the organism in Eukaryota, Metazoa, Chordata, Mammalia, Artiodactyla, Bovidae. The record is from Ensembl.